CAGCAGCCGCGGGAAUACGGAGGGGGCUAGCGUUGUUCGGAAUUACUGGGCGUAAAGCGCACGUAGGCGGCUUUGUAAGUUAGAGGUGAAAGCCCGGAGCUCAACUCCGGAAUUGCCUUUAAGACUGCAGAGCUAGCAGGUGAGAGAGGUGAGUGGAAUUCCGAGUGUAGAGGUGAGAUUCGUAGAUAUUCGGAAGAACACCAGUGGCGAAGGCGGCUCACUGGCUCAUACUGGACGCUGAGGUGCGAAAGCGUGGGGAGCAAACAGGAUUAGAUACCCCAGUAGUCCCUGUCUUUAUACA
RNAcentral lists this ribosomal RNA (301 nucleotides) under uncultured bacterium. Its description in RNAcentral is "partial 16S ribosomal RNA". It matches the Rfam family "Bacterial small subunit ribosomal RNA", at positions 509 to 809 of the family's 1533-position model. The record is from RNAcentral.